GCUUAUUUCUCGUUCACGAGAAAUAUUUUGCAAGGAAAGCCCAUCACGAUAUAUCGGGGCAAAAACCGGGUGGACUUGGCCCGUGAUUUUACCUUCAUCGAUGAUAUAGUUAAAGGUUGCCUGGGCUCUUUGGACACUGCGAGAAAGAGCACCGGGUCUGGCGGUAAAAAGCUAGGACCCGCACAAUAUCGGAUCUUCAAUUUGGGGAAUACGUCACCGGUUACGGUACCGAC
This 233-nucleotide unclassified non-coding RNA is filed under the name Hevea brasiliensis (rubber tree). Lineage: Eukaryota; Viridiplantae; Streptophyta; Magnoliopsida; Malpighiales; Euphorbiaceae. The record is from RNAcentral.